UGGGGAAUCUUAGACAAUGGGCGCAAGCCUGAUCUAGCCAUGCCGCGUGAGUGAUGAAGGCCCUAGGGUCGUAAAGCUCUUUCGCUGGGGAAGAUAAUGACGGUACCCAGUAAAGAAACCCCGGCUAACUCCGUGCCAGCAGCCGCGGUAAUACGGAGGGGGUUAGCGUUGUUCGGAAUUACUGGGCGUAAAGCGCGCGUAGGCGGAUUGGAAAGUUGGGGGUGAAAUCCCGGGGCUCAACCCCGGAACUGCCUCCAAAACUAUCAGUCUAGAGGUCGAGAGAGGUGAGUGGAAUUCCGAGUGUAGAGGUGAAAUUCGUAGAUAUUCGGAGGAACACCAGUGGCGAAGGCGGCUCACUGGCUCGAUACUGACGCUGAGGUGCGAAAGCGUGGGGAGCAAACAGG
RNAcentral lists this ribosomal RNA (404 nucleotides) under uncultured bacterium. RNAcentral describes it as "bacterial SSU rRNA". It matches the Rfam family "Bacterial small subunit ribosomal RNA", at positions 355 to 776 of the family's 1533-position model. The record is from RNAcentral.